Molecule: long non-coding RNA, 259 nt
Filed under: Bos taurus (domestic cattle)
Lineage: Eukaryota; Metazoa; Chordata; Mammalia; Artiodactyla; Bovidae
Description: long non-coding RNA NONBTAT004883
Source: RNAcentral
CUAUAAUCUGUUCCUUUCACUGUGUUCUUCAGACAACACAGUGGACAGAGGGCUCUUUCCUGUCCCUUGUGCAGAGUCGGGACAGGUCAGUCCUUCCUGUGCAGAAUCUUGAAAAUCUGUAGCUGGUAAUCUGAGCAGCUAUUAUGGUGAGUUUUUGCAAUCUUCUACUUCAUUAUUUUGAAUUUCUUCAGUGAGUCAUGACAAAACUGUUAAGGUCUAAAAUGUUUACACUUGUAUUUGGAAAGAGCUAGGGACUCAU